RNAcentral lists this ribosomal RNA (427 nucleotides) under uncultured bacterium. Its description in RNAcentral is "bacterial SSU rRNA". It matches the Rfam family "Bacterial small subunit ribosomal RNA", at positions 355 to 774 of the family's 1533-position model. The record is from RNAcentral.
UGGGGAAUUUUGGACAAUGGGCGCAAGCCUGAUCCAGCAAUGCCGCGUGCAGGAUGAAGGCCUUCGGGUUGUAAACUGCUUUUGUACGGAACGAAACGGUCUUUUCUCAUACAGAAGGCUAAUGACGUUACCGUAAGAAUAAGCACCGGCUAACUACGUGCCAGCAGCCGCGGUAAUACGUAGGGUGCGAGCGUUAAUCGGAAUUACUGGGCGUAAAGCGUGCGCAGGCGGUUUUGUAAGACAGUUGUGAAAUCCCCGGGCUCAACCUGGGAACUGCAUCUGUGACUGCAUCGCUGGAGUGCGGCAGAGGGGGAUGGAAUUCCGCGUGUAGCAGUGAAAUGCGUAGAUAUGCGGAGGAACGCCGAUGGCGAAGGCAAUCCCCUGGGCCUGAACUGACGCUCAUGCACGGAAGCGUGGGGAGCAAACA